AUACUGAUGAAGAGUCCCGAACUUGGACGAAACAGCUGUCCAGUAC
This 46-nucleotide non-coding RNA is filed under the name Trichobilharzia regenti. The record is from RNAcentral. Lineage: Eukaryota; Metazoa; Platyhelminthes; Trematoda; Strigeidida; Schistosomatidae.